Molecule: ribosomal RNA, 1478 nt
Filed under: uncultured Flavobacteriia bacterium
Lineage: Bacteria; Pseudomonadati; Bacteroidota; Flavobacteriia
Description: 16S ribosomal RNA
Rfam family: Bacterial small subunit ribosomal RNA
Source: RNAcentral
AGAGUUUGAUCCUGGCUCAGGAUGAACGCUAGCGGCAGGCUUAACACAUGCAAGUCGAGGGGUAACGGGGAAGCUUGCUUCCGCCGACGACCGGCGCACGGGUGCGUAACGCGUAUACAAUCUACCUUAUACUGGGGUAUAGCCUUUAGAAAUGAAGAUUAACCCCCCAUAGUCUCUUAGAGUGGCAUCACUUCUAGAGUAAAGGUUACGGUAUAAGAUGAGUAUGCGUUCUAUUAGUUUGUUGGUGUGGUAACGGCACACCAAGACUACGAUAGAUAGGGGCCCUGAGAGGGGGAUCCCCCACACUGGUACUGAGACACGGACCAGACUCCUACGGGAGGCAGCAGUGAGGAAUAUUGGACAAUGGAGGCAACUCUGAUCCAGCCAUGCCGCGUGCAGGAAGACUGCCCUAUGGGUUGUAAACUGCUUUUAUACAGGAAGAAACACCUCUACGUGUAGAGGCUUGACGGUACUGUAAGAAUAAGGAUCGGCUAACUCCGUGCCAGCAGCCGCGGUAAUACGGAGGAUCCAAGCGUUAUCCGGAAUCAUUGGGUUUAAAGGGUCCGUAGGUGGAUAAUUAAGUCAGAGGUGAAAUCUUGCAGCUCAACUGUAAAAUUGCCUUUGAAACUGGUUAUCUUGAGUUAUUAUGAAGUAGUUAGAAUAUGUAGUGUAGCGGUGAAAUGCAUAGAUAUUACAUAGAAUACCAAUUGCGAAGGCAGAUUACUAAUAAUCAACUGACACUGAUGGACGAAAGCGUGGGUAGCGAACAGGAUUAGAUACCCUGGUAGUCCACGCCGUAAACGAUGGUUACUAGCUGUUUGGACUUCGGUCUGAGUGGCUAAGCGAAAGUGAUAAGUAACCCACCUGGGGAGUACGUUCGCAAGAAUGAAACUCAAAGGAAUUGACGGGGGCCCGCACAAGCGGUGGAGCAUGUGGUUUAAUUCGAUGAUACGCGAGGAACCUUACCAGGGCUUAAAUGUAAGUUGCAUUAGUUAGAGAUAGCUAUUUCUUCGGACCACUUACAAGGUGCUGCAUGGUUGUCGUCAGCUCGUGCCGUGAGGUGUCAGGUUAAGUCCUAUAACGAGCGCAACCCCUGUUGUUAGUUGCCAGCGAGUCAUGUCGGGAACUCUAGCAAGACUGCCAGUGCAAACUGUGAGGAAGGUGGGGAUGACGUCAAAUCAUCACGGCCCUUACGUCCUGGGCUACACACGUGCUACAAUGGUAGGUACAGAGAGCAGCCACUGCGCGAGCAGGAGCGAAUCUACAAAACCUAUCACAGUUCGGAUCGGAGUCUGCAACUCGACUCCGUGAAGCUGGAAUCGCUAGUAAUCGGAUAUCAGCCAUGAUCCGGUGAAUACGUUCCCGGGCCUUGUACACACCGCCCGUCAAGCCAUGGAAGUUGGAAGUGCCUGAAGUCCGUCACCGCAAGGAGCGGCCUAGGGUAAAGUCGAUAACUAGGGCUAAGUCGUAACAAGGUA